This is a long non-coding RNA of Bos indicus x Bos taurus (hybrid cattle), 4053 nucleotides long. The record is from Ensembl. Lineage: Eukaryota; Metazoa; Chordata; Mammalia; Artiodactyla; Bovidae.
AAAGUUUUAUUCUUCACUUAAAAUAUUUUUUACACUGUAUAUUUGUUUGCUAGGUCUGCCAUAGCAAAUACCACAGACUAGGUGGCCUAAACAAGAUUUAUUUUGUUCUGGAGGCUAUAAAUCUGAGAUCCAAUUGUCAGCAGAUUGGGUUCCUUUUGAGGCCUCUCUCCUUGGCUUGUAGAUGGCCUUUGUCUCCCUAUGUCCUCGCAUCAUCUUCCCUCUGGGCAUGUGACCCUAAUCUCUUACAAGGACACCAGUCAUUGGUUUAGGGCCUACCCGAGUGACAUCAUUUUACCUUACUUGUCUCUAAAUCUAGUCACCUUCAGAGGUACUGGGGUUAGGACUUCAGCUUGUGAAUUAUGAGAAUUCACAAUUCAGCCUGUAUCACACAGGUAAUAAAUAUAAUCUCUCCAGUUGCCCAACUUCUCUCCAAUUUCUGCAUCUGCUUUGGAACAAGUUGCCAGCAUUGGUUGACUGGACUCCUCUGCUGCCUCCUGACUGACCACCCUACACCUGGUCAGGUACCUCAGAUAUCACACAAGGACAAGAAAAAAGAGAAUUGCAAAGUACUAUACCAACAGAUGGAGAAGGAAAUGGCAACCCAUUCCAGCAUUCUUGUCUGGGAAAUCCCAUGGACAGAGGAACCUGGUGGGCUACAGUCCAUGGAGUUGGAAGAGCUGGACACGAUUGAAUGACUAAAUCACCGCCAUGCAGACAUAAACCACCUCCACCGUGCAGACAGAAGCAGCUGUCAAAGUAGAAAGAUUAAUCGCAUGGGAUCUGCUGUGAGACUAUUUGGGUUUAAAUUCUGGUGCUCCUCACUUACUAUACAACCUUGGCCAAGUUCUGUAACUUGUCUAUGCCUUAGCUUCCUUGUCUAUAAAAUGAAUUUUAGUAACAUUAUUUAUCUUUUUCUUUAUUUUUUUUACUGAAGUAUAGUUGAUUUACACUGUUGUGCUAAUUUCUGCUGUUCAGCAAAAUGACUCAGUUAUACACGUAUAUACAUUCUUUUUUCAUAUUCUUUUCCAUUAUGGUCUAUCCCAGGAGAUUGGAUAUGGUUUCCUAUGCUAUACAGUAGGACCUUGCUGUUUAUCCAUCUAAAUGUAAUAGUUUGCCUCUACCAACCCCAAACUCUCAUUCCAUCCCUCUCCCUCACCCUCUCUGCUUUGGCAACCACAAAUCUGUUCUCUGUGUCUGUGAGUCUGCUUCUGUUUUGUAGAUAAGUUCAUUUGUGCUACAUUUUAGAUUCCACAUAUAAGCAAUAUCACAUGGCAUUUGUCUUUCUCUUUCUGAUUUACUUCACAUAGUAUGAUAAUCUCUAGUUGUAUCCAUGUUGCUGCAAAUGGCAUUAUUUCAUUCUUUUUUUUUAUCGCUGAGUAGAAUUCCGUUGUAUAUACGUACCACACCUUUUUUAUCCAUUUAUCUGCCAAUGGAUAUUUAGGUCAUUUCCAUGUCUUGGCUAUUGUGAGUAGAGCUGCUGUGAAUAUAGGGGUGCAUGUAUCUUUUUACAUUAUAGUUUUGUCCAGGUUUAUGCUUAGGAAUGGGAUUGCUGGAUCUUACAGUAAUUCUGUUUUCUAUAGAACUUCCAUUCUGUUUUCCAUAGUGGCUGCACCAACUUACUUUCCCACCAAUGGUGUAGGAGGAUUCCCUUUUCUUCACACACUCUCUAGUAUUUGUUAUUUGUAGACUUUUUAAUGAUGGCCAUUCUGACUGGUAUGAGGUAGACAAUAUUACCUAUCAUAGGUGAUAUAAAGAUGAGUACAAAGGUGAAAUUGUUAACAUGGUUUAUGUGAAAUACUUAGACAUAUAGGACAAUUCGAAUCUAUCUGGGUAGCCUAGGUUUUUAUUUGCUAAAUCUAGCAACCCUGGAUGUUAGGGAAGAGCGCUUGAGGCGUGAAGGAGAAAGCUGACUUUGGGGAGUAUCACAGAGUUCAGUGUGGCCUAGCAUAAUGGGGCGGGAGAAGGCAAUGGCAACCCACUCCAGUACUCUUGCCUGGAAAAUCCCAUGGACGGAGGGGCCUGGUGGGCUGCAGUCCAUGGGGUUGCUAGGAGUCAGACACGACUGAGUGACUUCACUUUAUUUUUUCACUUUCAUGCAUUGGAGAAGGAAAUGGCAACCCACUCCAGUAUUCUUGCCUGGAGAAUCCCAGGGACUGGGGAGGCUGGUGGGCUGCCGUCUAUGGGGUCGCACAGAGUCAGACACAACUGAAGCGACUUAGCAGCAGCAGCAGCAGCACCAUAAUGGGGUGGCAGAGGUAGAUGUGCAUUUGUAUUUCAUGUGGGGGUGACAUGUGGAGGACAAAAGCAUGAAGCGAAGCUGAAAAAGAGGUGGAAUCCAGGUUUUUUAAGCCUCAUAUUUUAUACUAUGGAAUUUGUACUUUAACCUGCUGUCAUUAGAGAAGCAUUGAGAGAUUCAAGCAAAGCAGUGAAGUAACAAGAAGAGAUGAUUGCAUUAUGAGACUAAUGUGCUGCCCAUUGCACCAAGAAGGUACUCAGAUUAUUGUAUUAAAAGGUCUUUCUGGAGGCAGAAGGGGUUGAAGCCAAGAAGCUGGGGGCAGGCUGACCAGCAGCUGCAGUCUAGGCAAGCAGUCUGGGUAAGAGGAUGGAGGCUUAAUGGAAACAGUGGAGACUUCCCUGGUGAUCCAGUGGUUAAGAAUCUGCUUUGCAUUGCAGGGGAUGUGGGUUCGAUCCCUGAUCAGGGAACUAGCAUCCCACAGGCUGUGGUGUAACCAAGCCAAUGUGGCAACUACUGAUCCUGAAUGAUCUGGAGCCUGUGUCCGUGUGCCACAAAAGAUCCUGUGUGCCACAACCAAGACCCGGUACAGCCAAAGAAGUAAGUAAAGAAAAAGAAAAAGAAACAGUGGAAGAAGAGGAGCACCCAGACUUAGUUACGCUCAGGAGCCCACCUGGCAGAACUUGAGAGCCCUUGGAUCUGUUGGUGGUAAGGGAGAUGGAAAUGUCGCCGGGGAUUCUGAGCCCAGAGCCUUGGCACUCAGAUGUGCUGCCAUAUUAACCAUGGUGAGGCAUAGGCGAAAGAAGGGGUUUGGUGAGAGAGAGUGCCUUCCGUUUUGGGCAUUCAGAGGUGGCAUUUCCUGGAACAGAAGCAGGAGAAAGUUGGGGAUUAGGGGUGGGAACCAUCAUUGUCCAAUGUCGCUGAAGCCACAGGGUCCCUGAGAUUCCCUCUGGGAGAGAAGAACCUGAGCUGAAUAUUUGAAGAACCAGAGAGGGACCUGGGAAGGUAUCACUAAGUGAGGAAAGGCGUAACAAAAGGGGAGCCAGCUAUGAAAUUAGCCAGAGGUUAGGCUGAAAAGAGACCACUGGCUAGCUAGGGUGCUGCUGGUGAUCUUGUGUGUGUCUGUUAGUUGCUCAGUCGUGUCUGACUCUUUGCGACCCCAUGGACUGUAGCCCUCCAGGCUCUGUCCAUGGGAUUCUCCAGGCAAGAAUACUGGAGUUUGGGUAACUGUUCCCUUCUCCAGCAAAUCUUCCCAACCCAGGGACUGAACCCGGGUCUUCUGCAUUGCAGGCAGGUUCCCAGUCUGAGCCACCAGGGAUGCCCCCACUGGCGAUCUUACAGAGAGCAAUUUCAGCCUAGUGUUGCAAAGCAGAAGCCAGAAGGAAAGAUAAAUGCAAAAUGCUUGGGGCCCAGAGAUCAUGCUUUUUUGAACAGAGAAGAGACUCAAAGGAGAGAGACGCUGAGUGAUUAACAAUGUGAUUGUUCACAACUGACCGCAGCUGACAAUUUCCUUAAACUCAUUUUAGGUCAUGUUCUGGAAUGAGAGGCUGGUGCAUGUUUAGCCAGUCUCUCCCCAUUUUGUGACAAAAUCAACUGAUUCUGUUUCCCUCUUCUGAAUAUUCUUCUGAGAAAACAAUUUUAUGCAUCUCUAUAAAUAAUACAUUUAUAUCCUAAGUCAGAAAUUUUGAUGUGAAAAUUCUCAGCUUUUAAUGAACUACUGAAUUUUUCAUGAGACUGUGCAUUGUGGAAAACCUAUUCAAUAAUACAAAUCUUGAGUGAUAAACACAAAAUGUAGAGAAUAAAAUAUAAUUAAGGAGACA